GCCUUCGUGGUGUAACUGGAAGCACGUCUCACUCGUAAUCAAAAUUUCAGGAGUUCGAAUCCCGGCGAAGGCU
This 73-nucleotide transfer RNA is filed under the name Stegodyphus mimosarum. It matches the Rfam family "tRNA". Rfam says of the family: Transfer RNA (tRNA) molecules are approximately 80 nucleotides in length. Their secondary structure includes four short double-helical elements and three loops (D, anti-codon, and T loops). The record is from Rfam by way of RNAcentral. Lineage: Eukaryota; Metazoa; Arthropoda; Arachnida; Araneae; Eresidae.